RNAcentral lists this ribosomal RNA (1002 nucleotides) under Neobacillus niacini. Its description in RNAcentral is "bacterial SSU rRNA". It matches the Rfam family "Bacterial small subunit ribosomal RNA", at positions 41 to 1047 of the family's 1533-position model. Lineage: Bacteria; Bacillati; Bacillota; Bacilli; Caryophanales; Bacillaceae. The record is from RNAcentral.
GGCGKGCUUAACACAUGCAAGUCGAGCGGUAAGGCCCUUCGGGGUACACGAGCGGCGAACGGGUGAGUAACACGUGAGCAACCUGCCCCUGACUCUGGGAUAAGCGGUGGAAACGCCGUCUAAUACCGGAUAYGACCCGCCACCUCAUGGUGGAGGGUGGAAAGUUUUUCGGUCAGGGAUGGGCUCGCGGCCUAUCAGCUUGUUGGUGGGGUAACGGCCUACCAAGGCGAUUACGGGUAGCCGGCCUGAGAGGGCGACCGGCCACACUGGGACUGAGACACGGCCCAGACUCCUGCGGGAGGCAGCAGUGGGGAAUAUUGCGCAAUGGGCGAAAGCCUGACGCAGCGACGCCGCGUGGGGGAUGACGGCCUUCGGGUUGUAAACCUCUUUUACCACCAACGCAGGCUYSSAGUUYUCUKSRGGUUGACGGUAGGUGGGGAAUAAGGACCGGCUAACUACGUGCCAGCAGCCGCGGUAAUACGUAGGGUCCGAGCGUUGUCCGGAAUUAUUGGGCGUAAAGAGCUCGUAGGCGGCGUGUCGCGUCUGCUGUGAAAGACCGGGGCUUAACUCCGGUUCUGCAGUGGAUACGGGCAUGCUAGAGGUAGGUAGGGGAGACUGGAAUUCCUGGUGUAGCGGUGAAAUGCGCAGAUAUCAGGAGGAACACCGGUGGCGAAGGCGGGUCUCUGGGCCUUACCUGACGCUGAGGAGCGAAAGCAUGGGGAGCGAACAGGAUUAGAUACCCUGGUAGUCCAUGCCGUAAACGUUGGGCGCUAGGUGUGGGGACUUUCCACGGUUUCCGCGCCGUAGCUAACGCAUUAAGCGCCCCGCCUGGGGAGUACGGCCGCAAGGCUAAAACUCAAAGGAAUUGACGGGGGCCCGCACAAGCGGCGGAGCAUGUUGCUUAAUUCGACGCAACGCGAAGAACCUUACCAAGGUUUGACAUCACCCGUGGACUCGCAGAGAUGUGAGGUCAUUUAGUUGGCGGGUGACAGGUGGUGCAUG